Molecule: ribosomal RNA, 491 nt
Filed under: uncultured bacterium
Lineage: Bacteria
Description: partial 16S ribosomal RNA
Rfam family: Bacterial small subunit ribosomal RNA
Source: RNAcentral
AGUGAACGCUGGCGGUAGGCCUAACACAUGCAAGUCGAACGGCAGCACAGUAAGAGCUUGCUCUUACGGGUGGCGAGUGGCGGACGGGUGAGGAAUACAUCGGAAUCUACUUUUUCGUGGGGGAUAACGUAGGGAAACUUACGCUAAUACCGCAUACGACCUACGGGUGAAAGCAGGGGAUCUUCGGACCUUGCGCGAUUGAAUGAGCCGAUGUCGGAUUAGCUGGUUGGCGGGGUAAAGGCCCACCAAGGCGACGAUCCGUAGCUGGUCUGAGAGGAUGAUCAGCCACACUGGAACUGAGACACGGUCCAGACUCCUACGGGAGGCAGCAGUGGGGAAUAUUGGACAAUGGGCGCAAGCCUGAUCCAGCCAUACCGCGUGGGUGAAGAAGGCCUUCGGGUUGUAAAGCCCUUUGUUGGGAAAGAAAAGCAGCAGGUUAAUACCCCGCUGUUCUGACGGUACCCAAAGAAUAAGCACCGGCUAUCUUCGUG